Molecule: ribosomal RNA, 478 nt
Filed under: uncultured Verrucomicrobiota bacterium
Lineage: Bacteria; Pseudomonadati; Verrucomicrobiota
Description: bacterial SSU rRNA
Rfam family: Bacterial small subunit ribosomal RNA
Source: RNAcentral
UCGAGAAUAAUUCACAAUGGGGGCAACCCUGAUGGUGCAACGCCGCGUGGAGGAUGACGGUCUUCGGAUUGUAAACUCCUGUCAUCCGGGAGUAAGACCUGGGAGUGAAUAGCUCACAGGGUUGAUAGUACCGGAAGAGGAAGGGACGGCUAACUUCGUGCCAGCAGCCGCGGUAAUACGAAGGUCCCGAGCGUUGUUCGGAAUCACUGGGCGUAAAGGGAGCGUAGGCGGCGUGGUAAGUCAGAUGUGAAAUCCCGGGGCUCAACCCCGGAACUGCAUCCGAUACUGCCGUGCUAGAGGAUUGGAGAGGUAGCUGGAAUUCUUGGUGUAGCAGUGAAAUGCGUGGAUAUCAAGAGGAACACUCGUGGCGAAAGCGAGCUACUGGACAACUCCUGACGCUGAGGCUCGAAGGCCAGGGUAGCGAAAGGGAUUAGAUACCCCUGUAGUCCUGGCAGUAAACGGUGCACGCUUGGUGUGA